AGUGAACGCUGGCGGUAGGCCUAACACAUGCAAGUCGAACGGCAGCACAGUAAGAGCUUGCUCUUACGGGUGGCGAGUGGCGGACGGGUGAGGAAUACAUCGGAAUCUACUUUUUCGUGGGGGAUAACGUAGGGAAACUUACGCUAAUACCUCAUACGACCUACGGGUGAAUGCAGGGGAUCUUCGGACCUUGCGCGAUUGAAUGAGCCGAUGUCGGAUUAGCUAGUUGGCGGGGUAAAGGCCCACCAAGGCGACGAUCCGUAGCUGGUCUGAGAGGAUGAUCAGCCACACUGGAACUGAGACACGGUCCAGACUCCUACGGGAGGCAGCAGUGGGGAAUAUUGGACAAUGGGCGCAAGCCUGAUCCAGCCAUACCGCGUGGGUGAAGAAGGCCUUCGGGUUGUAAAGCCCUUUUGUUGGGAAAGAAAAGCAGCAGGUGAAUACCCCGCUGUUCUGACGGUACCCAAAGAAUAAGCACCGGCUAACUUCGUG
RNAcentral lists this ribosomal RNA (492 nucleotides) under uncultured bacterium. RNAcentral describes it as "partial 16S ribosomal RNA". It matches the Rfam family "Bacterial small subunit ribosomal RNA", at positions 29 to 507 of the family's 1533-position model. The record is from RNAcentral.